Paecilomyces variotii is the source of this 89-nucleotide non-coding RNA. Lineage: Eukaryota; Fungi; Ascomycota; Eurotiomycetes; Eurotiales; Thermoascaceae. The record is from the annotation of a RefSeq genome assembly.
GGCUCGAUGGUCUAGGGGGAUGAUUCGUCCUUCGGGCAGCGAUAUUCUGGGAAUGGACGAGGUCCCGGGUUCGAAUCCCGGUCGAGCCC